This 315-nucleotide ribosomal RNA is filed under the name uncultured eukaryote. RNAcentral describes it as "partial 18S ribosomal RNA". It matches the Rfam family "Eukaryotic small subunit ribosomal RNA", at positions 1470 to 1796 of the family's 1831-position model. The record is from RNAcentral.
CCCUUAGAUGUUCUGAACCGCACGCGUGUUACACUGAUGCAUUCAACGAGCUUUACCUUGGCCGAGAGGCCUGGGAAAUCUUUUUAGCAUGCAUCGUGAUAGGGAUUGAUUAUUGCAAUUAUUAAUCAUGAACGAGGAAUUCCUAGUAAACGCAUUUCAUCAAAAUGCAUUGAUUACGUCCCUGCCCUUUGUACACACCGCCCGUCGCACCUACCGAUUUCGAGUGAUCCGGUGAAUCAUUCGGACCGCGUGGGCUUGACCUAACGUGGAAAGUCUAGUAAACCAUAUCACUUAGAGGAAGGAGAAGUCGUAACA